CAGUAGCCGCGGUAAUACAGAGGGUGCGAGCGUUAAUCGGAUUUACUGGGCGUAAAGCGUGCGUAGGCGGCUUCUUAAGUCGGAUGUGAAAUCCCUGAGCUUAACUUAGGAAUUGCAUUCGAUACUGGGAAGCUAGAGUAUGGGAGAGGAUGGUAGAAUUCCAGGUGUAGCGGUGAAAUGCGUAGAGAUCUGGAGGAAUACCGAUGGCGAAGGAAGCCAUCUGGCCUAAUACUGACGCUGAGGUACGAAAGCAUGGGGAGCAAACAGGAUUAGAUACCCCUGUAGUCCCUGUCUCUUAUAC
This 301-nucleotide ribosomal RNA is filed under the name uncultured bacterium. RNAcentral's name for it is "partial 16S ribosomal RNA". It matches the Rfam family "Bacterial small subunit ribosomal RNA", at positions 509 to 807 of the family's 1533-position model. The record is from RNAcentral.